UAUAAGUGGAUCCAUGCGGAGUUCGCGUUUAGUUUUAUUUAAAACAUGGAGUGGAGUAGAACAAGCGUAGUAAUCAUUUUCAUACUUAUUUUAAGGGCGUCACUUGUAUCAACUCGUCCCGCCAGCAAUAACAACAGUGACCAAUUAUUUAAACAAAUGGAACCCACCAUACGUAAGUCCGUGGCGAUGCUUGACACUGCGGUAACUGGUAACAAGGAUGCGCAAGCCAUUUUAUCCAAAUUGAUACAAGCAAGUAAUAGCAUGGCGGAUGCUGCGAAUUUAGCCAUGCGUAAGAUACAAUGAACAUAGCUUGUAUAUCUACGCAUGCAGGUGCAUAUAAAUUGAUUGUAGUAAUAAAAAGCCCAAAUAUAAA
Molecule: long non-coding RNA, 373 nt
Organism: Photinus pyralis (common eastern firefly)
Lineage: Eukaryota; Metazoa; Arthropoda; Insecta; Coleoptera; Lampyridae
Exons: 2
Source: RefSeq, a predicted model, not a curated record